GGUGGAAAGACCAUCAAUGGUUCUCUGAACAAUUGGUUUUUAAUUAUUAGGUCUUUCCACUUUUCCGUGGAAAGACCUAUUGGUUUUCUUCUGAUUAUUAUUAUUAUUUUUUUUCUUCCGCCAACUUUUUGUUCCUCCGCAACUUUUUUGUUUCGCAAGAUGUCGCUUAGACAUAUGGUAUAUGAUAUCGAACAGUUAUUACGCUUUUGUAACUGACACCGUGUAACCAAAAUCUCUCCCAUAUAAGAGUUAUCUCCCCGAACACUGUUUUUCUUGUUAUCGCGUAAUCUUCACAACCGUAUAAGAAACCGACAAAUUUAUUUUUGCAAAUUGCUCAUUACAUCUUCAGGAUGUGCUGUUUUAUUUUGACCGAAGCCGUAUAGAGAUUCCAUAUGAGAGUUAUUUCCCCUUUUGUAUUUGAAAUUUUGAAAUGUAUUUUAAACUGGAAAACCAUAAGUGAUAGAGACCUAGGGUCUUUUGAUUUGAGAUCCUUGGUCCAAAAAAAUGAAAAUUAGGUCAAGGUCAAAGGUCAAGGUCAUAUUCUAAAUUUUGAUUUUGGCUUAUUU
Molecule: long non-coding RNA, 566 nt
Filed under: Mytilus galloprovincialis (Mediterranean mussel)
Lineage: Eukaryota; Metazoa; Mollusca; Bivalvia; Mytilida; Mytilidae
Source: RNAcentral